GAUGAACGCUGGCGGCGUGCCUAAUACAUGCAAGUCGAGCGAACGGACGAGAAGCUUGCUUCUCUGAUGUUAGCGGCGGACGGGUGAGUAACACGUGGAUAACCUACCUAUAAGACUGGGAUAACUUCGGGAAACCGGAGCUAAUACCGGAUGAUAUUUUGAACCGCAUGGUUCAAAAGUGAAAGACGGUCUUGCUGUCACUUAUAGAUGGAUCCGCGCUGCAUUAGCUAGUUGGUAAGGUAACGGCUUACCAAGGCAACGAUGCAUAGCCGACCUGAGAGGGGGACGGGCCCCAUGGGAACUGAGAACCGGUCCAACCCCCCAGGGGGGGCAGAAGUAGGGAAUUUUCCGAAAGGGGCGAAACCCUGAGGGACAAACGCCGGGGGGGUGAUGAAGGUCUUCGGAUCGUAAAACCUUGUUAUUAGGGAAAAAAAUAUUGGAAAGUAACUGUGCCAAUUUUGACGGUACCAAAUCAAAAAGCACCGGUUAAUCACGU
RNAcentral lists this ribosomal RNA (496 nucleotides) under uncultured bacterium. RNAcentral's name for it is "partial 16S ribosomal RNA". It matches the Rfam family "Bacterial small subunit ribosomal RNA", at positions 28 to 506 of the family's 1533-position model. The record is from RNAcentral.